RNAcentral lists this long non-coding RNA (1080 nucleotides) under Salmo salar (Atlantic salmon). RNAcentral describes it as "lncRNA (ENSSSAG00000085528.1)". Lineage: Eukaryota; Metazoa; Chordata; Actinopteri; Salmoniformes; Salmonidae. The record is from RNAcentral.
UGUGUUUUGUAUGUUUCUCAAAUGUACAUUGUAUCUUUAUAUUAUGACAUUUAGUACAGCCAGAAGAGGACUGGCCCCCCCUCAUAGCCUGGUUCCUCUCUAGGUUUCUUCCUAGGUUUUGGCCUUUCUAGGGAGUUUUUCCUAGUCACCGUGCUUCUACACCUGCAUUGCUUGCUGUUUGGGGUUUUAGGCUGGGUUUCUGUACAGCACUUUGAGAUAUCAGCUGAUGUAAGAAGGGCUAUAUAAAUAAAUUUGAUUUGAAACAAUUUUUGAUAAAUUGGAAAUAAAGAUAAGAUGGAGAAAAAUCUACAGGAUGAACAAUACUGGAGUUCUGGCCCAGGAACAGGGGGGGGUCUCCUUUUACAGUAUCGCUAUACACCGAGUGUACAAAACAUUAAGAACACCUUCCUAAUAUUGAGUUGCCCUCAGAACAGCCUCAAUUCAUCAGGACAUGGACUCUACAAGGUGUCGAAAGCGUUCCACAGGGGAUGCUGGUCCAUGUUGACUCAAGUGUCUCAAGGCUUAAAAAUCCUUCUUUAACCCAUCACCUCCCCUUCAUCUACACUGAUUGAAGUGGAUUUAACAAGCGGAUCAUAGCUUUCACCUGGAUUCAGUCUGUCAUGAAAAGAGCAGGUAUACUUAAUGUUUUGUACACUGUGUAAUAUCAUCAAAAAUAACAUUGCGAUACGUAACUAAUCGAUUCCCCCCCCCCCACAUUACUAACAUAAACGGCACAAUUUGCUAGGGUUUGGACAAAUAACUACACCCCAGCUAACCACAUCAUGAUUGAGCAAGACAUUUUCUAGACGAAGGAGAAGUAGCAUAUUGUUUUUAAAACGUGUUCAUGCUUUUCUCCUCUGACAAUAAAUAAAAAAACCUGCUGUUUCUAAGUGGGCGUGGUAGAUAUCACAACUGUUCAGUGAAGGACUCAGGUAGGAUACACAUGUCUAUCCUCAAUGAAACGUGGCUAUCGAGGAAGGGAGUAGGCCUCUUCAGUUUGCCUACUAACGAAUUGACAUCUCAAUAACUUAUCGGUUUCCGGGUCACAGAGGAAGGAGAGAGGGUAGAGGACGGGCUUUU